RNAcentral lists this ribosomal RNA (643 nucleotides) under uncultured Actinomycetes bacterium. RNAcentral describes it as "bacterial SSU rRNA". It matches the Rfam family "Bacterial small subunit ribosomal RNA", at positions 232 to 885 of the family's 1533-position model. Lineage: Bacteria; Bacillati; Actinomycetota; Actinomycetes. The record is from RNAcentral.
CGCGGCCUAUCAGCUUGUUGGUGAGGUAACGGCUCACCAAGGCGACGACGGGUAGCCGGCCUGAGAGGGCGACCGGCCACACUGGGACUGAGACACGGCCCAGACUCCUACGGGAGGCGGCAGUGGGGAAUAUUGCACAAUGGGCGAAAGCCUGAUGCAGCGACGCCGCGUGAGGGAUGACGGCCUUCGGGUUGUAAACCUCUUUCAGCAGGGAAGAAGCGAAAGUGACGGUACCUGCAGAAGAAGCGCCGGCUAACUACGUGCCAGCAGCCGCGGUAAUACGUAGGGCGCGAGCGUUGUCCGGAAUUAUUGGGCGUAAAGAGCUCGUAGGCGGUCUGUCGCGUCGGAUGUGAAAGCCCGGGGCUUAACCCCGGGUCUGCAUUCGAUACGGGCAGACUAGAGUGUGGUAGGGGAGAUCGGAAUUCCUGGUGUAGCGGUGAAAUGCGCAGAUAUCAGGAGGAACACCGGUGGCGAAGGCGGAUCUCUGGGCCAUUACUGACGCUGAGGAGCGAAAGCGUGGGGAGCGAACAGGAUUAGAUACCCUGGUAGUCCACGCCGUAAACGGUGGGAACUAGGUGUUGGCGACAUUCCACGUCGUCGGUGCCGCAGCUAACGCAUUAAGUUCCCCGCCUGGGGAGUACGG